CGAAAAGAGAGAUUCAACGUCAGCAUGUAUAGUAUUGACGUGAGUAGUGAUGUCAGUUUUAAUGGUGGGGUAAACCUAAACAAUUAUGCCUGACACAUUUUCAUGUUAUUUUUAUUGCUGUACUACUGUCGGCGUGCACUUCUCUCUUAGUAGGACGUCCCGACCCGUUAAGUCUUAGCCUACGGCCCAAAUGGAUGCCUUUAAUAUUUUUAUAUUAAAAUCCUUUGGUGUCACCUGGCCUAAGUGCUUGACGGUGAAAAUUGAUUUGGUAUUAAGCCGCAAUUUAUUGUGCGUCCGGCCUGUCGCAAGUUUAUUGACAAUUUCUGUACACAUAGACUAUGUCCUAAGUGUAUGGUAUUGUUGGCUGUUUGCAUGACUGUGCUCUUGGANNNNNNGCUUAGUAUAUACCUGU
RNAcentral lists this ribosomal RNA (412 nucleotides) under Zelomorpha sp. 89 NL-2005. RNAcentral's name for it is "partial 28S ribosomal RNA". Lineage: Eukaryota; Metazoa; Arthropoda; Insecta; Hymenoptera; Braconidae. The record is from RNAcentral.